Molecule: long non-coding RNA, 952 nt
Organism: Schistocerca nitens (vagrant locust)
Lineage: Eukaryota; Metazoa; Arthropoda; Insecta; Orthoptera; Acrididae
Exons: 3
Source: RefSeq, a predicted model, not a curated record
GUUCACAGCCUUGAAGAGAAACAGGAGUUUAUGUAGGCGGCACGCUUUACGUGACGGAGAAGUCAAUAAUGAUUUUUACCGGAACUGUCCCUGGCAUAGGGUGUGGAGAACAAUACGACGCCACUGAGCCUUCCUGCAGUCUGAUCCAUUCAUAAAGUUUACUUUAAGUAAAGGCUGAUCCUUCAUGUGGACAAAAAACCGUAACUGAAACCUGAUUACUGGCAGUAAAUAAGAAGUAAAUAUUGGAAUGACAACAUCAGUAACGAAAGGUGAUAACAGAUUGCAGCCAACAAUAACGAUGCCAAAACAGUCGAAUGUUUCCUCUCUGAAGUGAAUGCGCCAGAGUUCAGGAGGCAUUGAAGAGUUUUGUUCCAGUGUAGUGGACACCUUUUUGCACCAAGCUCAAAUUUCUAUGCUCACUGUGUAUAUCAUUCUUCUUCCAUGUGUUAUGCUCAUGAUAAUUACUGUUUGGAUGAAAUAUCUCUAUAUUCUUACAGACAAAACACAUGAGAGAAAAGAUGUAUUGCCAUGUAGUUGUGUAUAUUUUAAGUUUGUGAAAGCUAUUUCUACACGAGUCUCUUGGGCGCAAUCCACAUAUAACCCUUAAAGCUCGCUUCUGAGCAAUGAUCACUUUCCUUGCUGAAGGCUGUUUGCCCCAAAAAAUAAUGCCAUAUUUAACGAGUGAGUGAAAAUAGCCAUAGUAUACCAUUUUUGCAGUGUUAGGUUCAACACAAGUAGUGACAGCCCGUAAAGUAUACGUAGCAGAGCUAAGCCUCUUACAGAGAUAUGCGAAGACCAGUUCAUUUUCUUGUCAAUGUGCACUCCAAGAAAUUUUGUUGUUUCCAUUCUUUCUAUUGGCUGAUUACCACAUGUCACACUUAUCUCUCUCUCUUUUUCUGUUUUUGAACAGAAAUGAAUAAAACUGGUCUUACUGGAAUUUAAUGAGAGACCA